RNAcentral lists this unclassified non-coding RNA (355 nucleotides) under soil metagenome. RNAcentral describes it as "partial contains 5.8S ribosomal RNA, internal transcribed spacer 2, and large subunit ribosomal RNA". The stretch from base 1 to 120 matches the Rfam family "5.8S ribosomal RNA", at positions 35 to 154 of the family's 154-position model. The record is from RNAcentral.
GAUGAAGAACGCAGCGAAAUGCGAUAAGUAAUGUGAAUUGCAGAAUUCAGUGAAUCAUCGAAUCUUUGAACGCACAUUGCGCCCGCCAGUAUUCUGGCGGGCAUGCCUGUCCGAGCGUCAUUUCAACCCUCGAACCCCUCCGGGGGGUCGGCGUUGGGGAUCGGCCCUGCCUCUUGGCGGUGGCCGUCUCCGAAAUACAGUGGCGGUCUCGCCGCAGCCUCUCCUGCGCAGUAGUUUGCACACUCGCAUCGGGAGCGCGUCGCGUCCACAGCCGUUAAACACCCAACUUCUGAAAUGUUGACCUCGGAUCAGGUAGGAAUACCCGCUGAACUUAAGCAUAUCAAUAAGCGGAGGA